This 460-nucleotide ribosomal RNA is filed under the name uncultured bacterium. RNAcentral's name for it is "partial 16S ribosomal RNA". It matches the Rfam family "Bacterial small subunit ribosomal RNA", at positions 338 to 795 of the family's 1533-position model. The record is from RNAcentral.
CCUACGGGAGGCAGCAGUGAGGAAUAUUGGUCAAUGGACGAGAGUCUGAACCAGCCAAGUAGCGUGAAGGAUGACUGCCCUAUGGGUUGUAAACUUCUUUUAUAAAGGAAUAAAACGCGGCACGUGUGCCUUUUUGCAUGUACUUUAUGAUUACGGCUCGGCUAACUCCGUGCCAGCAGCCGCGGUAAUCCGGAGGAUCCGAGCGUUAUCCGGAUUUAUUGGGUUUAAAGGGCGCGUAGAUGGGUUGUUAAGUCAGGUGUGAAAGUUUGCGGCUCAACCGUAAAAUUGCAAUUGAAACUGGCAGUCUUGAGUACAGUAGAGGUAAGCGGAAUUCGUGGUGUAGCGGUGAAAUGCGUAGAUAUUACGAAGAACCCCGAUGGCGAAGGCAGCUUACUAAACUGUGACUGACAUUGAUGCUCGAAAGUGUGGGGAGCAAACAGGAUUAGAUACCCGAGUAGUC